This 19-nucleotide small RNA is filed under the name Arabidopsis thaliana (thale cress). RNAcentral's name for it is "ATSL126330". The record is from RNAcentral. Lineage: Eukaryota; Viridiplantae; Streptophyta; Magnoliopsida; Brassicales; Brassicaceae.
AAAGAAAAGAAGAAAAAAA